GUCGUUGUAGCUCAGUUGGUAGAGCGCUCGGUUGAAGUCCGAGAGGUGGCAGGUUCGAACCCUGCCGUUGACA
RNAcentral lists this transfer RNA (73 nucleotides) under Rhodococcus qingshengii. RNAcentral describes it as "tRNA-Phe". It matches the Rfam family "tRNA". From Rfam's summary of the family: Transfer RNA (tRNA) molecules are approximately 80 nucleotides in length. Their secondary structure includes four short double-helical elements and three loops (D, anti-codon, and T loops). The record is from RNAcentral. RNAcentral also lists the same sequence under 1 other name. Lineage: Bacteria; Bacillati; Actinomycetota; Actinomycetes; Mycobacteriales; Nocardiaceae.